AGAUUGAACGCUGGCGGAAUGCUUUACACAUGCAAGUCGAGCGGCAGCGCGGGGGCAACCCUGGCGGCGAGCGGCGAACGGGUGAGUAAUACAUCGGAACAUGUCCAGUUGUGGGGGAUAGCCCGGCGAAAGCCGGAUUAAUACCGCAUGAGCUCGAGAGAGGAAAGCGGGGGACCGUAAGGCCUCGCGCGACUGGGUUGGCCGAUGUCCGAUUAGCUAGUUGGUGGGGUAAAGGCCUACCAAGGCGAUGAUCGGUAGCUGGUCUGAGAGGAUGAUCAGCCACACUGGGACUGAGACACGGCCCAGACUCCUACGGGAGGCAGCAGUGGGGAAUUUGGACAAUGGGGGCAACCCGUGAUCCAGCCAUUCCGCGUGAGUGAAGAAGGCCUUGGUUGUAAAGCUCUUUUGUCCGGAGCGAAACGUGGCGGUGAAUAGUCCGCCACGUACUGACGGUACCGAAGAAUAAGCACCGCUAACUACGUGCCAGCAGCCG
This 493-nucleotide ribosomal RNA is filed under the name uncultured soil bacterium. Its description in RNAcentral is "bacterial SSU rRNA". It matches the Rfam family "Bacterial small subunit ribosomal RNA", at positions 26 to 517 of the family's 1533-position model. The record is from RNAcentral.